UGGGGAAUAUUGGACAAUGGGCGAAAGCCUGAUCCAGCCAUGCCGCGUGUGUGAAGAAGGUCUUCGGAUUGUAAAGCACUUUAAGUUGGGAGGAAGGGCAGUAAGCGAAUACCUUGCUGUUUUGACGUUACCGACAGAAUAAGCACCGGCUAACUCUGUGCCAGCAGCCGCGGUAAUACAGAGGGUGCAAGCGUUAAUCGGAAUUACUGGGCGUAAAGCGCGCGUAGGUGGUUCGUUAAGUUGAAUGUGAAAGCCCCGGGCUCAACCUGGGAACUGCAUCCAAAACUGGCUAGCUAGAGUAAGGCAGAGGGUGGUGGAAUUUCCUGUGUAGCGGAGAAAUGCGUAGAUAUAGGAAGGAACACCAGUGGCGAAGGCGACCACCUGGGCUCAUACUGACACUGAGGUGCGAAAGCGUGGGGAGCAAACAGG
RNAcentral lists this ribosomal RNA (429 nucleotides) under Pseudomonadota bacterium. RNAcentral's name for it is "Proteobacteria bacterium partial 16S ribosomal RNA". It matches the Rfam family "Bacterial small subunit ribosomal RNA", at positions 355 to 776 of the family's 1533-position model. Lineage: Bacteria; Pseudomonadati; Pseudomonadota. The record is from RNAcentral.